CUUCCCUUCCCUGUGUUCAUCUGUUCUGUGUCAGAGUUCUGAAAAAUUCUGUAGUUGAAAAAGUCUAUUUCUCAGCCUCCUUUGUAAAAUGGAGGCUAUCUGAUACAGUUUCUCCACCGAGAUAAAUAAAAGUCAUAAACUGGAAAUUUCUGGGAAAGUUUUGUUCUAAUAAGUGCUACUGCUACCCCUUUCUUCCUUGUGAUUUUCUUCUAAUUCUUCCUGCCUGGAAAAUGGAUGGGAGGCUAGAAGUGGAGCAAUCGUUUUGUGACCAUAAAAAUAAAAACAAGAAGGAUGCUAGGUCAUUUUUAUAAUCAUGGAACCUGAACUAACUCCAAAUUGCUGUUUUAUGAGAAAAAAACAUUAUUUGGUUAAGUGUUAUAAGAGAGUUUCUUUUAUAGUCAGUCAAAUGAAAUACCUUACAUCCUCAUCAUUUUACUAAACCAAACGAUUUGCAGAACUAAAGAAUAACAAUCAUGUAGAAAUGCCACACUUAACAUACAUGGUGGUUGAGUACUGCUGAUUUCAUGCGUACCUUUCAAGGAACCAGAAACUCUAAUGUAGAAGGGUCUAUGUUUAUGAGAUAUGACUUACCAUAUAUAUGUAUGGUAUAUAAAUGUAUACAUUUAAAUUUUAAUGAGUUGCAUUUCUUCCCAUUUAUAUGUUCAGUGACUGGAAUCACCAAUCCAAUUGCAUAUUAUACAGCUGUAAACUUUAAGCUUAAAACUGAAUGUUUUGGGGGCACCUAGGUGGCUCAGUUGGUUAAUUGUCCAACUUCAUGAUCUCACAUUUCGCUUGUUCAAGCCCAUUAUCAGGCUCUGUGCUGACAGCUCAGAGCCUGGAGCCUGCUUCAGAUUGUGUCUCCCUCUCUUUCUGCCCCUCCCCUUCUCAUGCUCUGUCUCUCUCUCUCUCAAAAAUAAAUAAAAACGUUAAAAAUUUUUUAAAUGAAUGUUUUGUUCAAAAGUUUUGUUUAUAAUUCCAUGAGAAUACAACGAAUCUGCUUAAAAAAUUAUUCAUUGCAGCAAAUAGCUCAUAGCAACUCAGUUCAACUAGAAACAGUGCAUUCUACAUAAUAAAUGCUUUCUUUGUACCCACCUCUUCUAACUCUCUAGAGGGCUGCUCCACUUCAGAUGGACAGUACAGUCUUGUGUGGACAGAAGUGCCAAGGAAAAAGUAGAAGGAAGGAACAUGUAGGAGUAGUGAAAUGAGAGAGAUGAGGAACUCUAUGGAAAGCCUCUGCACAUGGGAUGUCACCACUUAUGGACAGAGACUGUUAUAAUAUGUUGAGCACAUGUGGAGGCUCCAAAUGAACAGAAGACUUUUUCAAGUGACAACAUGAAUAUUAUGGAUGAGUCUGAGACUCUACAUUCUAGGUUCCGAUCCAAUGUUACUCUUUGCAAUUGUGCAGAGCCUCAAUUCACUCAUUAAAGGAAAACAUAUAUAUCUUGUUAGCUUUACUUAUUCUGACUUGUUAAUUUGUGAGUAUAAAUUAUAUUUUAGUGUAUGUGCUUAUACUUGUGGAUAUUUUGUUCUUACAGCUUCACUGGCCCACAGCAAUUGUGUUUAAUGAAAAUCAGGUUGGUCUUGGAGUCAGAAAACCUGGUUGGAAUCCUGGUUAAGCCAUAGACCUAGUUGUAUAAUUUUGUGCAACUCAUCUAUAAGCCUCAGUUCCCCCAUCGGAAAAAUAGAGAUAAUAUACAUCUUACAGUGUGUUAUGAAGCUUUUAUAAAAUUGUGUACCUCUUCCACAGGACUCCCCAGCAAAAUGAAAGAGAUGAAAGAUAGAAGCUUUGGACAGGGGUGCAGCUAAAACAACAUGGGUUAGCAGGGGUCUCACACUCAAAUACCUACUAGUUCAUACAGAGCGACAUCUCGGAGGAGUUUUCUCUGCUUCUGCUUCAUCCUAGUGAGGGUAGCCACAUACGCUGAGCUGCAGCUUGGAAAAAAUGAUAAAAG
Long non-coding RNA from Neofelis nebulosa (Clouded leopard), 1952 nucleotides. RefSeq lists it as uncharacterized. The record is from RefSeq and is a predicted model, not a curated record. NCBI's taxonomy places the organism in Eukaryota, Metazoa, Chordata, Mammalia, Carnivora, Felidae. The transcript has 3 exons.